CUCGUAAUGUAGAACAAUAU
RNAcentral lists this small RNA (20 nucleotides) under Plasmodium falciparum 3D7. RNAcentral describes it as "Pfa-mtR30". Lineage: Eukaryota; Apicomplexa; Aconoidasida; Haemosporida; Plasmodiidae. The record is from RNAcentral.